UACGGAGGGAGCUAGCGUUGUUCGGAUAUACUGGGCGUAAAGCGCACGUAGGCGGCGCGGUAAGUCAGGGGUGAAAUCCCGGAGCUCAACUCCGGAACUGCCCUUGAAACUGCAGUGCUAGAAUUCUGGAGAGGCGAGUGGAAUUCCGAGUGUAGAGGUGAAAUGCGCAGAUAUCAGGAAGAACACCAAUGGCGAAAGCAGCUCUCUGGGACGGUACUGACGCUGAGACGCGAAAGCGUGGGGAGCGAACAGG
Molecule: ribosomal RNA, 253 nt
Filed under: uncultured bacterium
Lineage: Bacteria
Description: partial 16S ribosomal RNA
Rfam family: Bacterial small subunit ribosomal RNA
Source: RNAcentral